RNAcentral lists this ribosomal RNA (305 nucleotides) under uncultured bacterium. RNAcentral's name for it is "bacterial SSU rRNA". It matches the Rfam family "Bacterial small subunit ribosomal RNA", at positions 334 to 637 of the family's 1533-position model. The record is from RNAcentral.
UAACCCUACGGAGCGUAGCAGUGAGGAAUAUUGGUCAAUGGUCGGGAGACUGAACCAGCCAAGCCGCGUGAGGGAGGAAGGUACAGAGUAUCGUAAACCUCUUUUGUCAGGGAACAAAGGCGGGGACGUGUCCCCGGAUGAGUGUACCUGAAGAAAAAGCGUCGGCUAACUCCGUGCCAGCAGCCGCGGUAAUACGGAGGAUGCGAGCGUUAUCCAGAUUUAUUGGGUUUAAAGGGUGCGCAGGCGGUCUGUUAAGUCAGCGGUCAAAGCCCGGGGCUCAACCCCGGCCCGCCGUUGAAACUGGG